AGAUUUAUUGCUUAAUUGAAGCAGAGUUAGUUGUUAUGGCAAUUUUUCUUCCCAAAGAAAGAUAGAAUAAUUCACACCAUUGUAAUUUCUAUCCUUGUCUCAGUUUGAAGCAUUUAUUAAACUCCCCCCACUCAUGCAAUAUAUUGUGAACUGCAAAGCUGUAAAUUUCAUGGGGAUCAACUAAAUGAAACAUUUCAAUUUAUAGUUAAGGAAACUAUAACCCAAACUCUGCUUUUACAAAGUGGGACAAAAUGUAAGAAAAAAAAUACAAUGAAUAUACUUAUUUUCUUCCCUUAUUUACAAAGAACUGAGUACAUUUAGUGAGAUAAUAAAUUAAAGAGGAGCAAAGGAAAGUGAUAGACUGAUAAAAUGACCAAUAAGUCAGAAAGUAGCAUGUGGCAAAGUGAAUGGAUAGAAAUCAGGGAACGAAAACUUGAAAACCAGGGAGAAAUACAAAAAGAUAAAAAGGAUUUAAUACCUUUAUCCAUUUUAGAUGAUCUUUCUCUUGUUUUUGUGAAUUUCCAUACCAAAAACCCAGAACGCAAAGGAAUAUGCUGUCUCUCUCCCCUUUCACACACACGAUAGAACUCAUACCUUUAACUCCUACUAUGUGCGUUAUUUUCCUGAAUUUCAACUUAUUUCUAUAGCAGCAAGGUCACAGUAUACUUUUUCUGAAUAAAAAAACCAUAGCUUUUCUUUCUGGUGAAUUACUGAGUAGUACUAGCUUUUUAAACUGAAUUUUAAAUAACAAAACAGUUUAUUCUUUUCUUCUGCUCAUUUUUCUUGCUUAUAUGGGAAUAAUGAGUCAGCCAUAAAGUGGAUAUUAUAUAAUGAAAUUAGCAAAGCUUCCUUUUCAAGUUUCUUGUCACAGUUUCUAGUUCAGUAAUGAUGGUUAAAAGUGACAAUGGUUUGUUUGUACUCUAUCCUGACACCAAGGUUUCUAUCACAAAUGUUUGUUUUAUAAGAAUAAAAAAGGCAUUAUGUACUCAAGGACAAUGAGUCCUCUAACAAAUCUAAAGCAUCUACCUUCAUGCUCUGUUCAUGAUGGGAGUUCCACAGUUAUAGAAGCUCCCUAGGCAGCUCUCUGAUGUCUGCAACACUGCAAAAUAUCUUACAUUUAUACUCUUCUUUAUAAUGCCUUAAUAAUGUCAUCUUGGGAGGCAAAAAGAGAGCAUUCCCAUUUUACAGAUAGAAUUAUGGAUAACAAAGCUUAAGAGCCUUGCUUAUGGAAGCAGAAUAGGGCUUUUCUAAGAGUUUGACCCUAUAGUUUAUUGCCCAAACUUGGAUACUGUUGAUAAUGAAAGGAUUACUAUUAAUUACUGAGACAAUAGUUUUGAGCUUGGACUGUCCUGAGGGAAACUGAGACCUAUUGUAACUUUUACUAGGAUCCAACACUGAUUCUCACGUAUGUCCAUUUCUCAGUGUUUCUCAGACUUCCCCUCUGUUCUAAGUAUGUGCAAAUAAAUAUAAUAGUUACAUUAUGAGAGGAUAUGGCAGAGUUUGAACUUCAUUUAAUAACUUGGGCUCUGGGUGUACCUCGAGCAUCUUAACUUUUCUCUGCUUCAGUUUCUUCCUCAGUGAAAUGGGGAUGAUAAUAAUAAUACUCACAUUUUAGGGACAUUGUAUGGAUUGAAUGAGUAAAAUUCUUGGAAUAGUAUCUAGUACUUAGUAAGUACCAUGUUGUUGUUCAGUUGCUAAAUUGUUUCUGACUCUGUGACCCGAUGGACUGUACCAGGCUCCCCUGUUCUCUACUAUCUCCUAGUGAAGUGAAGUGAAGUUGCUCAGUC
This 1787-nucleotide long non-coding RNA is filed under the name Capra hircus (goat). RNAcentral describes it as "lncRNA (ENSCHIG00010010992.1)". The record is from RNAcentral. Lineage: Eukaryota; Metazoa; Chordata; Mammalia; Artiodactyla; Bovidae.